This 541-nucleotide long non-coding RNA is filed under the name Hordeum vulgare. RNAcentral's name for it is "long non-coding RNA (HVUL_LNC003565)". The record is from RNAcentral. Lineage: Eukaryota; Viridiplantae; Streptophyta; Magnoliopsida; Poales; Poaceae.
UGUGUCGUGCAGCCACUUGUAGUAGGGAGGUGUGUGUGUUUUGAGUAUGUGGUGUAGAUGCUUGUGUGUGUGAGCUUGUUCUAGUGUUUGUGGCUAUCAUAACAUGUGUGAGUGUGUGGUGAUGAUCUUGAGCAUGUUGUGCUUGUGGGUGAUGUGGACUAGGUGUGUGUGUGUGAGUAGCAGCCCACCUUGGCAAGCAAGCCUUGCACCUCCACAUGACCAUAUGUGAGAGGGCAUGGUAUGUUGUUUGUGUGUGAGGCUUAAUAGUAGGGGUUGAGAAGUUAAUGUGCAUGACACAAACAUGGGGUUCAAACCCCCAUGUCACUUUGUCAUUGUGCACAUGAGCUCAACCUUGUAGUUGUUGUUAUAGUGGAACUACAUGAAAUGAUGCCCAUUCACUAGGCAUGAUUUGGAGUAGCUUCCUCUCCCUUAAUAUGUGGUCACUUGUUCUAAGUAGGUGCCCACAUUUUAUAUAUGAUUUUGGGGUAGAAUCUCCAAAGAAAUCCAGUGGUGAAGUUAGUUUUGCCAUUGGGACACUUUA